Molecule: long non-coding RNA, 491 nt
Organism: Triticum dicoccoides
Lineage: Eukaryota; Viridiplantae; Streptophyta; Magnoliopsida; Poales; Poaceae
Exons: 3
Source: RefSeq, a predicted model, not a curated record
UCUCCAAGCAGCUUGUGCUUGUGUGGAGUCGCCGCACUCCGCACACCGCUGCCGUGGCGGAUCCCCGGGGCCGCCGCUGCCACUGAACCCCAUGGACGAAGCCGUCCCACGAACGGCCGAUGCAGGCACCACAACAGCAGCUCGUUACCGAAAUAUCAGGGUGUGCAGGAUCAUCUCGUCCAUGCCAUGGAACAAAGCCACCUGCUUGACGAGCUCCAAACAGAGAUGCAGAAUCAAGAGGAGACCUAAACAAGCUUCUUCUCAGUUCAGAAAAAAAAACUCAUUUCUGGCAUAACUCGGCAAUCCCACUCAAAAGGAGGAGCAGUAUCACUUAACCUGUUCAUAUUACCCCCAAUAUGAAUUAUCAUCCUCGAUGGCCACUCCAGGGAAGGAUUCUGAUCAAGAAUCACUGUUGCUGGAGCUUUCUCGCAAUGCACAGCACCGAUAGGCAAAACUUCUUUAUGUCAAUACAGGAUGACCUGUUUUAAUAU